RNAcentral lists this ribosomal RNA (1192 nucleotides) under uncultured bacterium. Its description in RNAcentral is "bacterial SSU rRNA". It matches the Rfam family "Bacterial small subunit ribosomal RNA", at positions 1 to 1188 of the family's 1533-position model. The record is from RNAcentral.
UUCGCCCUUAGAGUUUGAUUCUGGCUCAGGACGAACGCUGGCGGCGUGCCUAAUACAUGCAAGUCGAGCGGACAGAUGGGAGCUUGCUCCCUGAUGUUAGCGGCGGACGGGUGAGUAACACGUGGGUAACCUGCCUGUAAGACUGGGAUAACUCCGGGAAACCGGGGCUAAUACCGGAUGGUUGUUUGAACCGCAUGGUUCAAACAUAAAAGGUGGCUUCGGCUACCACUUACAGAUGGACCCGCGGCGCAUUAGCUAGUUGGUGAGGUAACGGCUCACCAAGGCGUCGACGGGUAGCCGGCCUGAGAGGGUGACCGGCCACACUGGGACUGAGACACGGCCCAGACUCCUACGGGAGGCAGCAGUAGGGAAUCUUCCGCAAUGGACGAAAGUCUGACGGAGCAACGCCGCGUGAGUGAUGAAGGUUUUCGGAUCGUAAAACUCUGUUGUUAGGGAAGAACAAGUGCUAGUUGAAUAAGCUGGCACCUUGACGGUACCUAACCAGAAAGCCACGGCUAACUACGUGCCAGCAGCCGCGGUAAUACGUAGGUGGCAAGCGUUAUCCGGAAUUAUUGGGCGUAAAGGGCUCGCAGGCGGUUUCUUAAGUCUGAUGUGAAAGCCCACGGCUCAACCGUGGAGGGUCAUUGGAAACUGGGGAACUUGAGUGCAGAAGAGGAGAGUGGAAUUCCACGUGUAGCGGUGAAAUGCGUAGAUAUGUGGAGGAACACCAGUGGCGAAGGCGACUCUCUGGUCUGUAACUGACGCUGAGGCGCGAAAGCGUGGGGAGCGAACAGGAUUAGAUACCCUGGUAGUCCACGCCGUANACGAUGAGUGCUAAGUGUUAGAGGGUUUCCGCCCUUUNAGUGUGAAAGUUACGCAUUANGCACUCCGCCUGGGGAGUACGGGCCGCAGGCUGAAACUNNCAAGAAUUGACGGGGGCCCGNNCACAGCGUGNAGCAUGUGGUUUAAUUUCGAUGCACGCGAAGAACUUANCNNAGUCUGACAUCCUCUGACACCCCUAGAGAUAGGGCUUCUCCUCGGGAGCAAANUGACAGGUGNUGCAUGGUGUCGUCACUCGUGUCNUGAAAGUUGGGGUUAGUCCCGCACGAGCGCACCCUUGAUCUUANUGCCAGCAUUCAGUGGGCCUCUAGGUGACUGCGGUGACCAACGGAGGAAGGGGGGGAGACGUCAA